UACAGAGGUCUCAAGCGUUGUUCGGAUUCAUUGGGCGUAAAGGGUGCGUAGGCGGCGCGGUAAGUCGGGUGUGAAAUCUUGGAGCUUAACUCCGAAACUGCAUUCGAUACUGCCGUGCUUGAGGACUGGAGAGGAGACUGGAAUUUACGGUGUAGCGGUGAAAUGCGUAGAUAUGCGGAGGAACACCGAUGGCGAAGGCAAUCCCCUGGGCCUGCACUGACGCUCAUGCACGAAAGCGUGGGGAGCAAACAGG
Molecule: ribosomal RNA, 253 nt
Filed under: uncultured bacterium
Lineage: Bacteria
Description: partial 16S ribosomal RNA
Rfam family: Bacterial small subunit ribosomal RNA
Source: RNAcentral